Molecule: ribosomal RNA, 429 nt
Filed under: Verrucomicrobiota bacterium
Lineage: Bacteria; Pseudomonadati; Verrucomicrobiota
Description: Verrucomicrobia bacterium partial 16S ribosomal RNA
Rfam family: Bacterial small subunit ribosomal RNA
Source: RNAcentral
UAGGGAAUCUUCCGCAAUGGACGAAAGUCUGACGGGGCAACGCCGCGUGAGUGAAGAAGGAUUUCGGUUCGUAAAACUCUGUUGUUAGGGAAGAAAAAAUGUAUAGUAACUAUAUACAAAAGAGACGGUACCUAACCAGAAAGCCACGGCUAACUACGUGCCAGCAGCCGCGGUAAUACGUAGGUGGCAAGCGUUGUCCGGAAUUAUUGGGCGUAAAGCGCGCGCAGGUGGUUUAGAAAGUCUGAUGUGAAAGCCCACGGCUCAACCGUGGAGGGUCAUUGGAAACUAAUAAACUUGAGUGCAGGAGAGAAAAGUGGAAUUCCUAGUGUAGCGGUGAAAUGCGUAGAGAUUAGGAGGAACACCGGUGGCGAAAGCGGCUUUUUGGCCUGCAACUGACACUGAGGCGCGAAAGCGUGGGGAGCAAACAGG